Long non-coding RNA from Amphimedon queenslandica, 1069 nucleotides. RefSeq lists it as uncharacterized. The transcript is spliced from 15 exons. The record is from RefSeq and is a predicted model, not a curated record. NCBI's taxonomy places the organism in Eukaryota, Metazoa, Porifera, Demospongiae, Haplosclerida, Niphatidae.
UUGCACGAAUUCAUCAUGCUCUAGGAGACAGUAAACUAGCAAUAUCAUAUCAGCACAAAACUGUCAUUAUGUAUGAGAGACUACUAGGAGUGGACCACUGCAGCUCUAUAUCAGCCUAUUUCCAUUUGGCUUAGUAUUGCUGUGGGGCUGAGAGGAAUGUUGUGGCGUUGAGAUUACUGUAUAGAGUUAGGUAUCUAAUAAUGUUAAGACAUGGUGAGGAUCAUCCUGAAAUGUCUAAUGUUGAUUUUUACAUUGGUUUACUACUGAGUAAUGCUGGUCAUUAUGAAGAAAGUCAGGCAUAUCUGGAAAGUGCUCUUAGAUUACAAAACAAGUUUCAUGGAAGUCAAUCAAUUACUGUAGCCACAAUUCAUCAUCUUCUUGCCAACUCAUUGACUCACAUUGGAGCAUUUGCUGAAGCUAAGCAAAAUAAGAGAAAAGCAUACAAUAUCUAUAGGACUAAAUUUGGCCCAGAUCAUGCACGUACUGUUCAGUCUUUUAAAAAACGUGAGGUAUAUCACUGAAAAGCAAGUCUCUUAUGAGCAGACUGUUGCCUAAAUUUUCUUGCCAGUUAUUUGAAUGUUACAUCAUCUAAUCGUUUAGCAGUGCAGAGUCAUCAUUAACUGAGAAGCAACUGAUGGUGAGACUAGACCUGUAGGAAGAGGAACAGCUACACGUAAUAGAGAAGUAACUGAUGGUGAUACUAUAGCUGUAAGAAGAGGAACAGCUACACGUAAUAGAGAAGCAACUGAUGGUGAUACUAGAGCUGUAAGAAGAGAAACAGCUACACGUAAUAAUGCAGAGAUAGCCGUUACAGUUGAUGGUACAUUAAAGGUCUUCCAGUCCAUUCUCAUUGACUUAAUUGCAGACUUCUUACUAGCUCUUGUUGUUCACAGAGACUCGUGGCAGAUAUAUGAUGCUAUUGUAAUUCAUCCUUGUGAGCCAGGAGUAACUGAAUGGAUCAAUGUCUACAACCUAAAAUGGUGCGUCUUGUAGUGACGGACCAGUUCCUGAUCUUUGUUGGACGGGACAGGGUCACCACUCCCUUGUAUAUCAGGAUUUGUGUAUUUUA